UUUGCCCCUCGAGACGUAACUGUGGCACUGAUGCCACUGUUGUGCCAUAAGUGGGCAAACAGAAACUGGCUUGAGUCGGGCCUGCAUGCCCUGUGCAGUGGGCUGUGGGCAUGGUAAUCAGCCAGAUAAA
Small nucleolar RNA from Alosa sapidissima (American shad), 130 nucleotides. RefSeq annotates it as small nucleolar RNA SNORA17. The transcript has a single exon. Lineage: Eukaryota; Metazoa; Chordata; Actinopteri; Clupeiformes; Clupeidae. The record is from RefSeq and is a predicted model, not a curated record.